GCAGAAAUGGUGGUGUUCUGAAGAGCUGCCAUUACAAAUGCUUCCCUUGAGAGCCAAACUCUCAGCUGCAGAAGAUCUCUGGUCUGAAACAGGCUUCUUUGUGAACAGUGUUUUGGACAGGAAAUCCAAGCACAGAAUUUACAUGCACUUAAGGAAAUAUACUAUGAGAAAACAGCUUGUUCCAAACAGUACUUAAAAGGAACCAUGGAGGAACUGCUGUAUCUAAGAACAAAAAGAUGGUGACUUCUGAAAAUUACAUCACCAAAUGAGGAACCCACAAAGAAGACAUAACUUCUACUACACCUAAGUUCCUUUUGUGGAUCCAGGCCUAUAUGCUUAUAUGGCCCCCAUCUGUCCAUUAUCUGAAUGCCUAACAAUAAUUAAUGAAUAUUAUCCCUGCUACACCUCUAUAAGGUAGGUAAGCAUUAUCCCUAUUUUUCAGAACGGGGAACUGAGGCAUAGGCUAAGUAACUUGGCCAAGGAGACACAGGAACUCUGUGGCUGAACUGGAGAUUGGAUGCAGGCCUCCUGAAUUCACAGUUCAGUUCCCUUUCCACUAGACCAUCCUUCUGCCACUCUCACCAUAUUUAAAUUAGUUGGUCAGUGUCCAAGUUGCCCAGUUUGUGUGGGUCUUCACAAAAAAAAACACUUUAAAAAGU
Molecule: non-coding RNA, 659 nt
Organism: Chrysemys picta bellii (western painted turtle)
Lineage: Eukaryota; Metazoa; Chordata; Testudines; Emydidae
Source: RefSeq, a predicted model, not a curated record